RNAcentral lists this long non-coding RNA (1231 nucleotides) under Brassica napus (rape). RNAcentral describes it as "long non-coding RNA (BNAP_LNC009068)". Lineage: Eukaryota; Viridiplantae; Streptophyta; Magnoliopsida; Brassicales; Brassicaceae. The record is from RNAcentral.
AAAUUACCUUUUUUGUUAUAACAAUCGAUUUCUAUUUUAAAAAAAAUAUUUUUUAAAAAUUUAAUCACGCCUAAAAUCAAGCAAUAUAUUUAUAUUAAGUGCCUAAUUAAGCGUUAAAAAUCACCAAAAAUCAUUCUUAAUUAUAUUAGAUUUCUGUUAUAUGGUGUUCGAUUAUUUUUAAAAAAAAUAUUCUUAAUUAUAUUACACUUAACAAUCAAACAAUAUUUUACUAUUAAUCUAAGUAUUAAAUAUUAAAUAUCCGUUUGAUCUAUUUAUACGUCCAUGUAUAUUAAGUGCAUUAAACUAAUACAGAUGUCAAAAUGAAUGUAUAUUAUUGAAAUUAUAUGAACAGUAAACUAUUUGAGUGACCAAUCUAAUAUAUUAAAAUAGAAGUCUAAUAUAUUAAAAUAGAAUUACAAAUAAAAAAUCGUUCUGAUUUUUCCUCAAUAAUUACCGAUCUAUGCCACUGUCAUCACAACACAGUCGUUUUAACAGCUUUAGAUCACCCCUUUCUUUUGGUUCUCUCCCCUCUUCUAAAGAGAGAGAGUUUUCUCUCGAUAUUUCAUUGUUUUUAUCAAACUAUUAUCUUUCGGAAGGAUAAAUCUAUUUCCCCUUUUUUGUGUGUUAAAAUAAUUUUCGAUCAUCUAGAUCGAUUUUUUUUCUUCGCUUACCAAUACUUUGUAGUGUUUUCGGCCUAAAUCUGAGCAAUUCUUCCAUUCUCUGAUCUUGCGUCGAUGUAAUAAAGGUUCCGAUCUAUAAUCGGAAAGCAUGCCGUAGCCCUCUGUUGCUUCACUCAAUCCCGACCAACAUCUCUUCAACUAAAUAUUCUAUCUUUGUUUGGGUAACGUUGCAUGAAUUGGUAUUGGAGUUUAGAGAAGUGUUCGUGAGGUUCCAAAUCUUUGUUACGGUGAAGAAAGAGCAAAAGCGAAAUCGGAAAAUUUCACAGUGGCGAAGAGCUCCGGCGGCCAUGAUGUUUUCAGCAUGAAGGACACGUUGCUUGAUACACUUAUCAGAAACAGCUUUUGUGUUAUGGGCUUUGUAAUUUGUUUUUUUUUUACUUGGAUCUCAUGUAGUCCAUUACCAAUUCUAAUGAAAAAUAUUGCCGACAAAGAAGAAAUCAUUCCUUUUUUCUUUCAUUAAUAAUAAUUUUAAUUCUCAACGGUUUUUUCUUUUUCUCUCGCGCCUCUGUAUUUCACAGAAAGAGAAAAGGAAGCUUUUUAUGUUCUUUCCG